This 246-nucleotide ribosomal RNA is filed under the name uncultured bacterium. Its description in RNAcentral is "partial 16S ribosomal RNA". It matches the Rfam family "Bacterial small subunit ribosomal RNA", at positions 87 to 334 of the family's 1533-position model. The record is from RNAcentral.
UAUGGCGACCGGCGCACGGGUGAGUAACACGUAUCCAACCUGCCGAUGACUCGGGGAUAGCCUUUCGAAAGAAAGAUUAAUACCCGAUGGCAUAGUUCUUCCGCAUGGUGGAACUAUUAAAGAAUUUCGGUCAUCGAUGGGGAUGCGUUCCAUUAGGUUGUUGGCGGGGUAACGGCCCACCAAGCCUUCGAUGGAUAGGGGUUCUGAGAGGAAGGUCCCCCACAUUGGAACUGAGACACGGUCCAA